CCUCCACCUUGCUACUUCACCAAACCACACAACCAACCCAAUGUUCAGCAACCCACUAGCCUCAGACCUCUAGAAUGGCUACAGUGGCCACGGAAGAGUGACCCACUCUCUAACUAACUCUUCUACAGACACCCCCACUCCCAGUAUCAAUGUGGAGAACCAGGUAGGAAGAGAAGAAAGGAAUAUGGAGAUUGUGGCUCAUGAUUGUUGAUUACGAACGGCAUUGCAUGGACCUAUACAAACAGUAAUACUGAUGAAGGAAGGCAUGCUGAGCGUUUUGGAAAAGGUCACUUCUUUGGAAAAGAACUUCUUGAAUGGGCUUGGAAACCUUCCUCUGUCAACAUAUUCAACCUAUCCAAACUCCCACUUUCCUCAUAAACCCUCAAAACCCAUACAAAGGUGGAAGCCUUUGCUCUAAUGGCCAACGACUUGAGGGUAAUCUCUAUUCUAGGUUUUCAUGAUUAUACCCAGAGCAAUUGCAAUUUCAGGCAGCUUCCAUUUUACAACGAGUCAGGUGCUGCAGUCAACCAAAGUGUUACUCCAAGAAAACUUAUGAAUCCAGCAGUCCCUGACAUUGUUGUUGCAAAGCAAUGGGGUGUUUUGAUGUCUUUGCUAUAUUAAGAUUUGUUUUUCUAGUGAUGGAGUUGCUACUUGUUUGGAUUCUGAAUGAUAAUGGUGAAAUUAGGAAAAAGGACAACGUGUAAAAUAUUAAACUGUCAGUAAGGAUUGUGCGUAGAACCCUA
Molecule: long non-coding RNA, 743 nt
Organism: Quercus lobata
Lineage: Eukaryota; Viridiplantae; Streptophyta; Magnoliopsida; Fagales; Fagaceae
Exons: 3
Source: RefSeq, a predicted model, not a curated record